AACGUAGGUCACAAGCGUUGUCCGGAAUUACUGGGUGUAAAGGGAGCGCAGGCGGGCGAUCAAGUUGGGAGUGAAAUCCAUGGGCUCAACCCAUGAACUGCUUUCAAAACUGGUCGUCUUGAGUAGUGCAGAGGUAGGCGGAAUUCCCGGUGUAGCGGUGGAAUGCGUAGAUAUCGGGAGGAACACCAGUGGCGAAGGCGGCCUACUGGGCACCAACUGACGCUGAGGCUCGAAAGUGUGGGUAGCAAACAGG
Molecule: ribosomal RNA, 253 nt
Filed under: Faecalibacterium prausnitzii
Lineage: Bacteria; Bacillati; Bacillota; Clostridia; Eubacteriales; Oscillospiraceae
Description: partial 16S ribosomal RNA
Rfam family: Bacterial small subunit ribosomal RNA
Source: RNAcentral